UUGGAGAUACUCGAGCUAUGGGGCCCGGAUAAGCCUCGCCUGUUCCCUGUGAAGCAUGACCGGACAUGAAGUUCCACGUGGCAAACUAGCGUCCGUUCACAGGCACGACGAUGGACACGCGUCAUUACGGCGGACCGCACGAGGAAGCCUAUGCUUGAAAGGAACAGGACUGGAACGGUCUCGAUUAAUUCCGGCGUUGCGUUAAUUACCUAAUCAUCUAAUUAAAUUAUCGCACUGCUCUUUCUACCUGCAAGGUUGUACACGUUUAGCCACAUGCGUUGCUAUUGGAGAGAAAGAUGGGGACCACUGGUGACCCACCUGCGCUCGUCCUCCGACUUCUACAAAAUUGCAGUCUGACGCUGAGUGGGUAAGCCUCACACGGCAACACUAUUUUUGUAAGAUGAGGCUCCACCUCCGCUAAUGACCAUCCUAAACUGAUUCUUGUGCAAGAAAAGGAGGAUAAGCUUUUUGCUUUUACUUCUUGUUGUUGGUUUUUAAGUCUAUAAAUUGGUGUGCCGACGGCGCAGUCUUCCGUCGCUUAUCCUUUCGGCUAUUUUCUCUUUUUCCUCUUAGAGGAGCAACUGUGAUCGGAGCAUCUGCAUCGCCGACAGAUCAGAACCGUCGCGUUCUUUGGAUUUUCGGUGAAGGUGAAAAGUUGAUAUCGAUCGGACGGAUGUCGAUCGCACUGGAGAAACGGGGCGACAUUGGCCGGUCGGGGCUUCUCCAGCGGCCCGCCUGCUUCCCAAUCUACGAGGUGCCAGAGGCGGCGGCAAGGCUUGCGGUGGCGGGGGACGGCGGCGAGGACUCCUGCAGCUCUUCGUCCAUCGGGAGGAACAGCGACCUCUCCGCCGGUGGAUCGGGGUCGGACGGCGGGGAGGCGGAGGUCCAGAGCAGGUUGAAGGGGCCACUAGAGACAAUGGACGCCCUCGAGGACUCACUGCCCUUGAGGUAUCCUUCUUCAUCUAUGCAAAAGUUCCUACGUUGACUAGCUUCUCUUGAAUGCUUCGGAUUAGGUUCUUGCUUUCUUGGUGCAUUUGGGUGAAAUGUAACGCGGGUAAUGUUUGUGAGAAAUGUUUUCAAGAAACAUAAUGGUGCUGCCUUUUUGUUCUUGAUGUAGCAAAUAUUUCUAGAACUUGUUUAGCCGUUGUUACGAUUAUCGUUAUGAUUGCUUGUUAUGUAUUAUAUUUUAGGGUUUGAGUUGUUCUUUUCUUGAUAUUGCUUGAAAUUUCCCCAGAUAUGAGUUGGAUUUGUGAAUUAGGGCCCUUCAGAAAUUGUGCCUAUCCAACGCUUUUAGAUUGCCCAUUUCUUUAUAAUCAGCAGAUAUCCAUAUCAGUUACUAGUGUCUGAUAUCUCACUCUUCUUUGACCAAUUUCAUUGGAUAAUUCAAGGGCUACUAUUUCAUUUGGUAUCUUAUUUCUAUCCCCCUGGUAUGAGUUGACUUUUGAGAUCUCUACUUAGAAGACAGUUAGCAUUGAACUCUGUAAUACGUGCGAUGCAUACAUCCUGUUGAUUUUUCAAAUGUUACCGUAAGUCUCCUAUACAAGCCUACUACAGACAUAAAAGUAAGGAUUCUCACCCGAAGUCUGGGGUUAUAAUAUGAGACCAGAGGGGCUUUUAUUUGUGAUUCUGGAGCAAUGGAGAGCCUUUUAAUGCCUUCUACAUAUCUUUAUUGUUUUUGACAAAAGUUUUUGGUCCUACUAUCGCUCGCUAAUCAGCUGUGAUCGAGAUUGAUAACCGGAAAACCAUUUUGAUGUUGGGAUGAGUUGGAACGAGAUGCAUUUAACUUUGGGUAGACAAAAUCUUGGAUGAGUUUUGGCAUCAUUUUAUCAACAGGAUUAAAUCUUCAUCUUAUUAUAAUGCAGACAAAAUUUAAGGUUUUUAAAAUGAUUUUCGCCACAUCUACUGAGCAGAAUGUCACUGACAUAGUAAACCAAUCAAAAUGUUGCCAUAACACUUUUGUUUGUAGAGCAUGAGAUGCUAGAAUAGUUUGCAUGUAAUCUUACACUAUGAGAUAGAGGUCAGACAUCAUCAAUUCACUAUUAUCUGAUGCAUACUAAUUUGGAGUUUAGUUUUCAGUUUGUUUUAGCUUAGUUUUUUAAAAGACAUAAUAUAUUUAAUAAAUUAUAAAUGUUGGCUUUGUUAGAAUUAGUUUUAUCUUAUCACUGACAUCAUGGGACAACAAGAUAAUAUUUUAUUUUAGAAAGUUCGAUGAGUUUUGCCAGCUGAAAAUAAGAUUAUGUCCUUGUCAGAUAUUUACAGUAUUGACAAUGAAAUGAUGGAUUUUUUGAAUGACUAAUCCUGUGUUUUCUUGUGAUGGGUGUUCUCCGCACCUUCCAAUCCAGUUUCCCUUUCACUCUUAAUUCGUUGAAUUAAUUAUCUUGGUCUGGUGAUUAAUGCUAUUCCAAAUUAGAGCAUGGAUUUGAGGUUCCAUGCCACUCCAUUUUGCUGCAGUACAUAUUCCCUGUACUUGGACAAUGGAUCUAUUGUGUUUGUUGUCUCUAGACAUUAUUGGAAAAUAUUAUCUUUGAUCUGAAGAACAUUUCUCAAAGAUGACCUAGGAAGAUCUUUUCACUCAAAGGAUUGUGCUAGUGAUUAGAUCUUCAGAGAUAGGUAUAGAUGGCAUGUCCAUCCCUUCAUCAUUGUAUAGGGAUUUCAUUUGGAUUAGCUCUUCAGCUGCACGCCACAUUCUUUUUUCCUGCAUCUUAAUGUGAUGGUGCUGUAUCUAAAAUGCAUUUUAGGUUUCAUUUCUGUAUUUCACUUCCCUACCUAGUCAUUUGCCAUACAAAUUAGGUUCAACUUUGAGGAUUGAUUUUACCAGAUUGUGUUAAUUGAGAUAUCAGUGAGGAUGUUAACAAUAGAUAAGUGAUUCUGUUGCAUGGAUACCUGAUCCAUGCUAAUGUAGUUCAAUACACAUACGGGCAGCAGUUGUGGUGCAUUUGUGUCCAGUCAUGGUGGUAUUGAGAUAAUAUAUUAUUAUUAUCCAUGUUUUUACCAUCAUGUAAGGAAUUAUAUUAAUUGACAUAUUGUUGACGUUACAUACUUUGUGGUGCAUUUGUGUCCAGUCAUGGUGGUAUUGAGAUAAUAUGUUAUUGUAAUCCAUUCUUUUACCAUCAUGUAAUAAAUUAUAUUAAUUGAGAUAUUGUUGAUGUUACAUCCUUUUAGAGAACUGUCUAUUCGGUAGGAUUCUGAGAGAUUUUAUGAAGUCUGCAUUUCUGAAUGAGGCUGAUUAUCAUUACGUACAUUUGAUUUGCAUGAAGUAGAACACCAUGGAUUAUUGUUCAUGAAACAUUUCAUCAUCCACGACAUUGAUGCACCGAGUUAAGGGCAUCAUGCUACUUACUUUGGGAAUGAUUCAAAAAGACUUUGGAACAUUUUAUUGCAAUGGUAGUGACUAGAGAGAUGAACUAUUGACACUUGGAAAAAAAAAAAAAAAGGAGAUAUCAAGCAUAUAAGUUGGCAAUUGUUGCCAUAGUAAUAGUAGGCUUUUGUUUCUAGAUUAUAUUAAGGCCAUAUGGUUUAAUGAGUCAGCAUGCCUUGAUUUCUCUCUCUCUGCAGGCGUGGCAUCUCCAAGUUCUAUACCGGCAAAUCCAAAUCUUUCACAAGCUUUGUGGAUGCCAAAUCAUCUUCCUCUUGUAAGGAUCUUGCAAAAUCUGAAAAUGCUUAUACCCGCAAGCGCAAGAAUCUUCUUGCCUUCAGUGUUCUAUCAGAUAAGUCUAGCAAGCUAGGAAACAUGGAAGGGCGUAUUUCAAAAAGACCUGCCAGUUCCAGCCGAAGCAUGCUAAGCCCGAUCCUAAACAGUGCCAGCUCCAGCAGCAACAGCUUCAGCAGUGAAGAGGAUAAUGUUCUGGGUCAUCUUCUUCCUCCCCCUCACCAUCAGGGCAAAUAUUCUGGCGAUGCUACUUCAGCUACUGCUGUUUCUCUUUCAACUACUCCAUUCGGUUCCUCCCCGAUGAGAUCAUUCUCAGUGACAGAUCUCCACGGCAUCCUUCGUUCGUCCUCGAUUCAGAUUCAGACAAGGGAUGACCACAAAAAGAAUCAGUAGCUCAAAGAUGUCUCUCUGAAUUGAUUUGGUCCCAUGUCCCCUAUUUUUUUGGAUCAUGGGUUUUCAUCUAUCUGCUUGGUGAUUGUCAGAUGGUUGAUUGAAUGUUUGUACAGGGGAGGAAAUUUAAGUUUGUUUUUGCUAGACAUGAGAGAGUGUCAUAUGAAUGGCCUGACUAGGUCUCUAAUUUACAGGGGUCCUCCUGUCUAUCUGACUCCUUGUCCUUGCAUUUAUAUACUUGUUAUGCCCUGCUCUUCCAUAUGCUGCGUUAUCACCUGAGGAAGACCACUGACGUGGAAUGAUGCAUCUGAUGUAUGGUUUAAUUUAAGCUAUACCAUAUCAGGAGGUGUGGUUCAAUUUGCAUUUUUGUUGGUAAAGAAAAUUGUUUGAAAAGAUGUUUCGAAACUUCUAACCUUUGAUGAGUGAUAAAUUCGGUUCAUGAUAGGCAGAUCAAUGCUUUAGUUAUUGUGUAAGUGCAGCUGAUUCAAAAUUUUAACAAGUGCAACAUUUGAAAUUUUGAUGCACAAGGAGAGUUAGAUUACCUGAGUUAUCCAUGCCAAAUGAAUGUCAUUAGCACAUUCUUAAUUGGUUUAAUAAUAUUAUAAACGACAUAUGAAUGUUCGUUGCAAUUCAUGAUGGAUUAUAAAGGGCUUCGCGGAAACGAUAUUAAAAUGUUCUAAUGUUUCCGGUCUCCAAAUGAUACAAUUCUUAUCACAAUAAAAAGUCAUUGAUGCAUAAGAAAUCUGAAGGAAAUGAUGACAUUGAAAAUUUUGCUCCAGUAGGUUGAUUCAAGAUUCUGCCUCCAUUAAUUCGGGAUUGUCAAAAAGAUAUGAUACAUUCUAUAUGAAACCGCAACGCAAAUAGAAGAUGGAACCAUAUCAGAUGCGUAAGAUGAAAGUGGAAAGGAUGCAUGUGGAGGUAACAUGUACUACGAGUAGUAGUGAUAAGUCAAUAUUUUAUCCUUUCGGGCUGAGCAAAAUAUAUAUAUAUAUAUAUUUGAAGGGUCGUAAAUCUUUAGUUCAUCUAUUCUUGAACCAAAGUAAGACUAAAUGUACUUAUCAAUGACUCCCUAGCAGGGAGAGUCAAGGGCUCAUGACCCUUCAAGAGGAAUCCAAUAUCGCGGAGGCAUAAUGUCAAAUACAUCCAAGACAUGUAAGUCAGGAUGAUCCAAUCCUAAAUAAUCUUGGUCAUAAGAUAUUCGAGAGGAACAUCGAGAUAACCGGACAUAUCGAUAUGCUAUAUACCCGUCCAUAUGAUGAAGGUAACUGGUCUUAUAGCUGCCCGUGUGGGGACACUAUGGAUAUAGUAUAGGUGCUCAUUGGAGAAUAAGUUCACUAAUUGAUCCACUCACGGAAUACUGGAUGGUUGAUGAUACCUCAUUAUCAGAUAGCGAUUUCAUCGGUCCUUAAACUUUAGACACCAAGGAUAUCCUAUAUGAGUACUUCAUUCUUUGAUAUCGAACUUAUAGGUAUGAAAAUUCUAGAUCUAGCACAAUUGGUCAUUGGGAGUGACAGUCAAUCUUAUGAGAACAAUUGAGUGACUAUAGAAGAUCAUCCGCUCUCGGUAUCAUAAGAGGAAUAUCUUAUGUAUUCUUUCUCAAGCAAAUCCCUAGCUAGGGUCAUUCGGAUUGAAAGAGAAAGAGUUCUCCUAGAAAAUCCGAUUAGAGCGAGAUUCGAGUAGAUUCCGUAUGGGCUGACAACACCAUAUCAGGUAUAUGAUCUUUGGGAUAUUAGAUAAAUGAGGGACUAUAGAGACACGGUAACUAAGGACAUACAAGUCCAAUGGAUUGGAUUCUCUUGUAUCGUAUGGGGACUACAGCGUAGUGGCCUAGUACAUCCAUAGUCAAUGAGUUGAAUGAAUAAUUCACUGAGCCAGAAGGAGUUCUAAUAGGUAUGACUCACAACCAUAUUGAUAUUGGGCCAAGAGGGUCACACAUAUAUAAUAAGUGUUGCACCGAGUAGAGGUUUUGAAUAUAAGAUAUCCGUUGAAACUCUUAUUUUAUUGGAUAUCCAAUGAACUCCUUAAUUAUUAGAUUUUAUGGAUAAGAUCAAAUAAGAGCCAAUUAAAGAUUAUUGGAUAAAGAUCUAUUAACCCAAGAUGCUUGGAUAAUUGAAUAGAGAUCUAGUACUCAAUAUGACAAGAUUCAUUAUAGUUAAAUUGAUAGGGACCUCUAUAAAUAGCAAGAAACUAAAGGGAAAUAGGCUAGAUAAUUUUUGGCUGCCACCUCCUAUUCUCCUCACUCCCUCUCCUCCUAAGUUGAUAGCCCCAGUUUAGGGUGUGUGGAUAGUAAGAAAGGUCAACCCCUUCUUGAUCAUGUGAUGUGCAUGGAGAGGAAGAUCAUGCACCGAUUUGAGGGGUGUUUUUAUCACAUCAACUAUAUGGAUCAUCAUUAGAGAGGAGGAUAGUUGACCUCCUUCAUCCACUCCUAUAGAUCUAGGAUUUUACAGGGAUAUAUGAUUUCCUUAUGUAACAAAUAUGUCUUGAUAUGCGUGAUUUUCGUUUUGCGUUUUCGAUUUUACACACUAAUCUUCGCACGAUAAUGAAAUAUUUUUUUCUUUGUUCCUUUUCUCUAGCGGUGUCUUCAUCGGUUGAGGAUCCUUUAAGAGUCCUUUUUCCUUUAUUUGGAAAAUGACUUCAGUUCUAGUCAUGUUCAAAGGAGUCGACUUAAACCUUAGGUGAGGUAGCUCGGGUUAGUCUUUUCUUCUUCCCAAUGGUGACCUCAAGGUCAAGGUUUAUGGUAGUCGCUCCUAUCUUGGCUUUUUAUGUCUUCUCAUGCUUGCUUGAGAUCAUUGUCUUUGCGGCAAUGUACUGGUUGACCCUCUAGAGCAUCUUAGGUACCGUCAUCGGUAGCCUCUCCACCAAUGAUUAAAAAAAGCGAGAGAGCUUGAGCUCCAUCAUGAAAGCUUGUAUUACAAAUGACAAAUGAGCUUCUUGCACACCUCGGAUCUCAUUAGUGAAUCGAACAACAAAGUCAAAGAGUAUUUUUUCCUCCCCUUACCCGAGUCUAAGAAGUAUUACCACUAAUAGCCUCGGGCAUAUAUUUCCGAGGAAGUAGAGCUCAUACUCCUUUACAAGCUGAGCAAAGUAGUCGACCGGGAGUGACUUUAAGAAAGUGUACUAUUCUUAUACUAGGCCUCUUAAUGUUGUUAGGGAGGUACGACACAUCAAGAAGUUUGAGGUAUCAUACAAUGACAUUUGGUAUGGAAGACGAUAGUGUACUCUAUUAAGUUGGUACUAUCGUCAAAAGCCUCUAAUGAUGGGAGGUGAAAGUUUAUUGGGAUUAGCUCCUCUUGGAUGUUCCAAAUGAAUGAGGAUCGACUUGAGGUGGGGUCAUCCGGCCUUUCCCAUUUGGAUUGUUGAAAUUCUCGUUGCAUCUUUUUUAAGCAUUAGUCCAUUUGUCGUAGCUGAAUUCUUAAGGAGUCAUCCAUCGAAUUUGCUGACUAGGUCUUGGAUUUAGGCAGAGUAAAAUGAUAGUGCAGUAGUGCACUAAAUUCCACGGUUGGGGAGUGGGGCACUCUUUUGGUCGAUAGUUCUACGAGUCUUAGCCAAUCCUGAGAUGUUGGCACUACAUCGGACAGGGGCAUCCUAGUGAGUGUCGAGGUGUCGAGACUAACGAUCAGGAUUGAACAAGAGGAGGAGGUAGCCAUUGCAGUAGGUCCAAAAAAGCUUACAACCACACAUUAGUGCUCGUUCGGAAUCAUAUAUAUUAUUUAGUCACUAUCCCAACUCAGAAAAAGUACGUACAACUUUUAUUUUAGUGGAAAAAAUACGUCUCUUUUAGUCACUAAGAAACUAUUAACUGAAAACGUAAUAUUUUACUUAUAUUCAAGGAUCGUAGGUAAGACAUAAUGUGUACAAUCAUGACGCGUGAAUGAACGUCUAUUAUGCAUAUACAAUGCUUUCUAUUAUGUGUGGCCCCGUCAAGUUAGUCAUAUUGUUUGAAUAUUUUAUUUGAGAUUUGUCCUUAUUACAUGUAUAUAUUUAUGUAUUAGAGUUAAUUCUCAACUUAUAUAGUAUAUGCUUCUUUGUAUGGAAUGAUAACACAUUGCAUAAGCUCCAAAAGCAAAGUCAAUUUUGUUGGCAGCAUAAUGUUUUAAAUGAAUUUAACUUGUAGAAUUAUAACGAUUCUAAACCGAGAAAGAGUAAGAAAAGUGGGGAAAUGGUAGAUUAAGAACCACAUUAGGAGAAAUUUCAUGAAGACCAGUAAAAGCAAAGCUGGGUUUUAAUAUCUAUCCUUGUAUGGUUUGGAAACAGCAUUUCCUUGUAAAUUUGAUAAAGCAUAUCAACAAACGAAACCUCACAUUAUGUUAGAAAUAUUAAUAAUACCUUUAAUAUUCUUACCAUCAUAAUAUUUGGUUCCAUUUUUAUGGCUAAAAAAGAAAAUAACUUUUAUCUUUUUUUUUUCCAAAAAAAAACUGAAUAUAUUACUGUCUAAAAACAUGAACACUAUGCGAGGACCUCCAAAUUAGAGAUGUUUUGAAAGAGUAUGCAAAAUGUGCUAAUCAAUUACUGCUCUUAUUUCCUUCCCUAAAAACAUGACAAAAUUUGCAUUCAUAAAAAUAGUCAGACAAAUGCCAAAUACUCCUAAACAAAGUCAGCAGUCUCCAAGGUGGAUCCUCUUCUUCAUUUAACGCCUUGAUAAUGAGCUGAGAGUCAACUUCCACCUCUGACUUGGGAAUGCCAUCAUCACAAGCCUUCUGCAUCCCCCAUUUAAUCACCAUCAACUCAGCAGCCAGUUUGAGGCAAAAAUUAGCAUCCAGCCAUCACACAGCUCACCUCCCCUCCAAUCUAUAAAAUGACCCAUCAGUGUUGAGUUUAUAUCACCCUAUGGUAGGUUUAGAUCAGGUUACAUGCAUUCUGCUCACAACACUCACGCAAUAUCUGGAGAAUAAAGUUUUCAUUCAUUUAAGAAAAGAUGAUCUAAGUACAAUUCCUUUGUUCAUUUUUAUAGGCCCAUACAUAAAGAAAAUGGAAAACAGAAUAAAUGGAAGAAAAAAAAAAAGGCUAAUCAACUAAAAUAUAUUUUUUAUUAGGAAACACAAGUUUCUACAUAUAGCCUUCCUUCCAUUUAGCCUGAUGGUUCUUUCCCUUUUUUUUCUCUUCUUUGUCAAUCUAGGAAACAAUGAUAGAAAUGCAUGAGAUAAUUCAAAUGGCCUCUCUACUAUUUUUAUUUUUAUUUUUUAAAGCUCAUCGCAGCGAUUCAAUUAUGUUGAAAUUUUUCGUAGGAUUUUAUAAAAGAAAUAACUUAUGAAUUUAAUAUCCUAUUAGAAACAAUGACAACUUAACUUCUAUCAUGUAUAGUUUGGCCAGGCCACCUAAUAGGUAUAUGUUGUUUUCUUGCAUGGAGUAAAUUAGGUCAUGUUACUAAAUUGGUUUAUAAUGAAAAUGGAAUCAUGACCUGCUAUUAUUUAUUGUAAUCUAAGAAUUUUUUUUUCAAAAUGUAAGUAGUGAAGACUAGAUUCGAAUCCAAGACAUUGCGAUAAAUUAUCAAAAUCUUUACCAAUUAAGUUGAUUAAUAUAUUCUAAGUUCAAAAUUUAUACUAAUAUCUUUCCAAGAGAUAUGAGAUGUAAGCAAAAUUCAUACUAGCUAACACCUUCAAAGUUUUAUAUGUUAGGCUUGAAUGUUUAGUAAAGCGACAAUAGGAGUUUAAAUCGAUUUGGUUUUACUUAAUAAUCAUGAUUUAUAUUUAUUUUCCUAUUUAGUUUAGGUUAAAAAAAUUAAGAAUACAAGUUAAAGAUGGUAUGCAGUUAUCAAUUAUUUUAUUAUGAAAAAAAUUAGCAUUAUAUCUUGGAAGAGACUAUUAGGAUCGAGUCGACACUAAGAGGAGGGUGAAUUAGUGCAACGGAUAAAAACAGACUUGUCCUCUUCUUAAAGCAGCACUAGGCAUCGCUAAUUGGGAGAUCGGUAGGCAUCCUCACUUUUCCUCGACACCUUGCUAUGUUUCAUUAGUCUCCUUUGGGUGAUAUAAGAUUCUUCUAAAACCUUUAUACAUGUUUCAUGCGUAAUAUAUCAUCAUCGUUCGUCUUCUUCAAUCUCUCUUGCGGAUUUGGAGAGUAGAUGGGAGGUGUAGAGGGACUUCUCUUACGUUUCAUUGAAGUCAUGUGGGUUGGACUAAAUUUGGCCUGAUACAAAAGUCAAAGAAGUGUUUUGACUUCUUGAACCUUUGUUUGAAUUGUUGUUUGACUUUGGUUCAACUCAGACCUGAUUUCUACUUGUGGGCAUUAUAUAUUGAUUUAUGCCAAUUGUGAUUAUGCAUAUGAUUUCGUGACUUGUAGAACAUUGCAUUUAUUGUGGAACACUUAAAUAGAUAGCAAAUUUUGAGUCAUAUUAACAGAAUUAUUUUGGAGUGGUAUUCGAAAUUAGAAUAUGACUGGACUUUUAAUUGGUACAAAAACUGGUAUUUAAUUCUCUUAGGUACAAAAGAUUAAUGGAGAAGGCCAACAUCAGCUCUACUGUCACCUCAAGAAGUCGAGAGGAAGAACCACAGGUGGAGGAAGGAAUCACCACAGAGAGACCAGAUUGGACAUUACUACCACUCGAUCUCAUAACAAAGAUCAGCGAAGAACUUCCCAUCCCACACCGUCUUUGCCUUCGUGCCACAUGCACAACUUGGUAUCAUGCUGCAGUCUUGGACAUGGAUGUCCCGUCCCCAUGGCUCCUCAUACCCGAUCAUGAAAGUGAGCAAAGCGACUCUUGCACUUUCGCAUCUCUCCCUACUGGCCUCUUCUUCACGUACUCCCCUAUCCCCGAGCUUCGUGGCACACGUUGUGUUGGUUCUCAUGCUGGUUGGCUUGCGAUCGCCAAUGUUCACUUGGACGUCAGCCUCCUAAAUCCCUUAACAAGGUCUCAAAUCUACCUUCCCUCCUUCACCACCCUACCUACUGAUGAUCUCAUGCUUGAAUGUGACGUCUGGUCUAUGGACAAUCCAGCAACUGAUGUGCCUGCUUAUAACCCUUUUAAAGCAUUCCGCGAUCGCUUCAUUGGCAAGGUUGUCUUUUCCUCAAAUCCUACUAUCCAUAACCACGUCGCGGUGACACUCUAUGGUGCUUAUGGUGAUCUUGCCUACACGAAGGCAGGCAAAGAUGCGUGGCUUCUUCUUAAGGAACCAUCAACCAAGGAUCAUCAGUAUGAGGAUGUCAUGUAUCAUGAUGACAAAUUCUACUGUCUAUCAAAUGAAUGUGAAGUCGAAGCUUUUGACCUAAGUGGAGAUUGUCCCACUGCGGCACUCGUCGUUGAGAGAUUAACAUUUAGUGUUACAUACUUUCACGACAUACGCGGCUCCAAUCUCAGCUGUACGUAUAAAAAAUACUUAGCACGCUCGAGCACAGGAGAGUUGUUUAUGUUUCUAAGAUAUAUAAAUCAACCCGUUUUACCGAAUGAAAUGGAACUGCGUAGGCCAAAAAAAUUCAUGGUUUUGAGGGCUAAUCCCGAGACUAACCCUUGUUGGGCUGCUGCUACAAACGACUUGGGAAGUAUGUCAUUGUUCAUUGGUACCAACAAUUCCAUGUUGGUAUCAAAUGAGAAUUUACCGAUAGUACAUGGAGACGGUAUCUUCUUCAUCGAAUCCUACACAGUAGCAUUUGGCAAUGGCAUUGAACUACUCACUUCUGAUGUUGGAUGGUUCAAUUUGAAAGAAGAAUGUUCGGAUAACUACUAUGCAUCAUCUUGUCCUCAAUUCGACUUGGCAUCAGUCAUCUGGUUCACACCCUCACUACAGUGAUUACAAAAGAAAAACUGGUUCUGGUUGUCUUUGAAUAACCUAUUACUGAAUGUAGAGAUAUGUUGAUUGAUCAUUAUUCCUAUGAACAUUAUUAGUCUAGAGUUGAUUAACCAUCUCGAUGUUAAUUCAUUUAACUUGUGCUUUGUUGUGGGCAAGAAUAUAUUUUGCUUUAUAUUGGAAAUCAUAUUUGAUUGCACAAAGUUUCAAUGCCCUGAUUUGCAUGUCUUGAUGUGGCGUAGAAUAUGAAAUCGUAGAUACAACACAUAGCAAUUCAUUUUCCAUUAUGGAGAGACAACCUAAAGAUACAAUGGAACAUUGAGCCCGGAGCUUUGUUUAGGAUACUAACUAUACCGAUCCAUCAUUGUCGUUUUAUUGGAACUGGACUUCAUCAUUGGAAUUAUUUUAGCACUUAGAAAUUUAUGUGUUAGUCAAUAAAACUAGACGACUACUUAUCGCAGUUAGAGAGAGAGAGAGAGAGAGAGAGAGAGAGAGAAAGCACUUACGUUUUGAUCCUUUAAAAAUUAUGGUAUGGAAUUGAAACAAAGACUUGCAUGAUCGAUCGAAUACAAGAAGUCGAUGCAGAAUUCUAGGUUGAAAAUUUGGAAAAUUAGACCAUGUAGUAUCAAUCAAAUUCAAAGAAUUCAUAAAAGCAUCAAUGGACUUGGGACUGAGGUCUCUACAAAGUUUAAAUGGUAAAAGACACUUAGGCCAUUAAAAAUAUUAAUAUGUAUAUUAGAGGAUAGAUUGAUCGGUGGAGUUUCAUUUCUUUAAAAAAAAUUGUAAGGCGAAGAUGAGAAUUUUGAAUUCAUUGCUCUUUUUAAUGGGUCUCCUUGUGAAGUGCCAAGCUUAAUUUUUAAUUAUAAAAGCAAAAAUUAAAUUAUCCAGGUGCUUUGAUUGCCUCGAUUUUAUUCAAAGGGUUUUGAAUUUAUAUAAAUUUAACCUGCUAAAUUAGUAAGAAAACUAGAGUAUUUUUUAUCAAUUUUCUUAAAAAUUAAGAAAAUUAAAAUUACUCAACUUCGCCUACUUCGUAAAGGGUAUCAUUCCAUACAUCAAGCCAAGUAAUAGCCUUUGCCUUUAGACUUUUGGAGCAUUCAAAGUAUGUACUUCUUAUUUAUAAUUGAUUACUAAACUUCCCCUCUUUUUUAUUGUCUCUUUUUUUUUUAAAGAGAAUUAUUGCUUUCAAGGGGUUAAAUUUUGUCUCAUAACCCUUUCAUAGAUUUAGCCGAUUGUACUAUAUUUUUUUAUUUUUUUGUUAUCUACUCCUCUAAGUAAUAAAGGAUAUAAGAUACUUUAUACUUCAUUCCUUAGUCGAUCAUCAUCACUUCAAUCCAAAGUUCAUCACUUUGGAUUAUCUCAAUAAGAAUUUCUUUGACAUAGGCCUUAUGAAAUUCUCUCACAACUAUCCUUUUAUUUUAUCUUAGUAUUUGGAAUUUACUAUUAUAUUCUCUACUGCUUUGGCCCUCAACUAAUGUGUUCUCCUUUCAUAAAAGCAAGAGAUCAGGAACAACUAAGAAGUAUUACCUAUGUUAUACCAUGAUAUACCAUUAAGCUCAUGGCCCUAUUUCCAUUACUUCACAUUUGCAUCUUUUUUUCUCUAUGAUUGAUAGUUAUUGUCAUUGUGGUCGAGUGGCACUCUUUUUGGAGUCCACAUUCAAUCUAACUGAUGGAUUACUAGUAUAUACUUAAACAUACUACCCCUUGUCUACUAACGCACACAACCUUCAUCUGAUGUAAUUUUUAUGCAUGUAUCGAAAACCUACCUCUGUAAGACAAUGAUAUUCACUCCUUAAUUAUAUAGUCAUUCUUUUAAUGCAAAUUCAAUAUAUACAUGGAAGAUUUGUUUGUAUGAUUUCAUAGUACUUAUCCCUUGAGUUCAUAGUUUUUCUUAAACUGAAAAUUUAAUACAUGCACAAAAGAUUGAAAGUCCCUUGUCUGAAUGAUCAAGUCCCUGAUUAGACUUGUUAGUGUGUUGCUCUAUCUCAAAUUAUUCCAUCAUGAUCUACUACCCCUAUGUCGCUUCAUGGUGAUAUCUUUGUUGAAUUUUAGAUUUGAUUGUCAAACUACUUAAUGAAUUUGAAGAUCUAAUCUUUAGAGAAGUCAAGCGACAUAUGUGAACUUUGACUCAUAGUAUCAAUCACUAGAGUUGUAUGUUAUUAUUUUGGAUGAUUGAAAGUUAUAUUGAAAGAUCGAAUAUUAUAUAAGAGAAUUGGAUAUCAUAUCAGAGGAUUGGACAUAAUGUAGGAGAAUCGAAUGUUAUGUUGGAGAAGGAUAACUCGACAUAUCAAAAGGUAAGGCAAUAUGCCAAAAGACUAGAGGACAUGUCAAAAGAUUUAACAAUUCACCGAAAGAUUUAACAAGUUGAAAGAACCAUUGAUGUGUCGAACCCUUGGUCAAGUCAUUAAUACAUUGGUUGAGUUAUUGAAGCCUCAGUUGAGUCAUCGGGCCUAUACACAUUCUUAAUUAGGUCAUCAAUGAGUUGUUAUUUGGCCUCAAAAUGGGCUUUUAUGAGGAUAGGUUGCUUAAGCUAGUUUUCGUGCUAUUUUGGGCUCUUACUAGGCUUUAUAGCCUAGGCCUAGCCUAGGUGGUAGUAUUACUUAGAUAGGGAGUAGUAUCACCUGGCACAUUUAGAAUGGUCUAGACAAUGUUGAUUUAGUGGUUUGAUGAUAAUGUUGAAAGAAGUGAUAGUAAUAUCACCUUGGAACAUUUCUUAAGAACAAGGUUCAUUAUAUUAUAGUAUACAACUCAGUAUGGGCAAUAUGUACUAAUCCAACAGGGGAUCAGUAUGGGUGAUGCAUUAGCAUGCCCCUAUGUACCAUGUUAAUAUGCUUGGUAUGACUCUGUAUAGCUCGAUACAUAUCGUACUAAUAGCUAGUCGAUACACUAGCAUGGACUAGUAAGACAAACCGCAAGUACUUUUUCUUAAUUUGCUCUAUAUUCUUAGAACUUUUAAGAUUAUAGAUGCCCUAUUUAAGCUUGGUUGGUGGAGUAUCCAUCUUGAAAAUUUCAAGUGCUAAAUUUCUCUUUUAGAUAUUUGAGUUUCUUAUAACUUCUUGAGUUUGAGUUGUCUUUGUAAUUAAUAUGGGAGCUUUGACACAAGGAAUCUGAUGACAUAUUAUACUUAUCUAUAUACCUUGCCUGAUCAAUAUAACAACCAAGUUAUCAUCCUACAAUGAUCAUCACUCGGUACCUAUAGGGACAAUGACUUGACUCUAACAAAAUGGUCUAUAUUAUCAAAAGAAUAACUUGUUAUCCUUAGCAUUUGCACGAAAUACCUUAUUGAUAAUUGUAACAUUUGACGAUUCAAGGCAUAACAUCCUACUUAACAAUAAUUGAAUAUUUCGCAUAAAAGUUUGUAGAGUUAAUCCCCAUUAUGAUUUAACGACUACCCAAGCAUACCAAAAAAGGCCCCCAUGUGCAUUCUUGACUAUAUCUAAGAAAAUAAUCUUAGUUAUCUCUUGAAGCUUUCAAUAUUCCCUAGUAAUUUAGGUAUCUAAAGUACUUUUAUCAGACAAGCCCCUAUUGUAGUUUUUGUAGGACCUUCUAUGAAUCCUUCAUCUUUGUAGGGCCUUCAAUUUGUUCUCUCAUUUUCUCAAUAUCCAACCUGUGAUAAACGUAGAAGUCAUACCUAAUUUAGAUCUAAACACCCCAUUUAUCAUACAACUAUAAUAUGAUUUAUUAGUAUAUUAUAGAAGGUGUGAGUCAUUAGUGGUUAAGUGAAGGCUUUUUAAGCCUUAAAAGGAAAAAAGUAUAAAAGGUUAUUAAUCUUUACUUAUUAAAAGAAAAAUUACUAGUAAAAGCUGAUAGAGGAAUCACGAGUAGGAAUAAGUCAAGAAAAUCAAAUUAUUAUGCCUCUCUAUUGUUUUACCCGUGCUUUUCUCUUAUGUUUGUUUACUUAUUUUAAUUAGAUUUUAUAUAAUUAUUUUUUAUUUGUUAAAAUUUUAAAUUUUGUAGAAGAACUAAUCACCACUUUUAUAGUGCCACUAAGAUCCAAUGCAAAGGCCACCAUUAUCUCAAUACAAAUCAAUGAAAGCAAAGCAAUUUGAUUUAAACUCAGUGAAAGCACUAAGUAGUAUGAGUGGAGUCUGCUGAAAAGAUGAAAUAUGAAGUGGAAGCACCUAUUUCAUAGUGCUAUACUUAGAUAGAAGUCAAGAACUUUUACACUUGUAGAGGCAAUUGCAAAACCAUAUGAUUUCUUGCUUUUCUUGUUUUAAUGAGGUAAGAAUUAUCUCACAUGCAUCGUGUCUGAGUCAAAAGGAGCCUUGAGGCACAUGCAUAUGAUGUUGAUGAUGCAUUUUGGAGUACAAGGUAGGUUGAAGGGGAGUGUUUAUAUAUGUUUGCAAAGGGUAAGUCUUCAUAUAACCUCAUACAAAUCCUUAGGUUCUUUCGAAAUAAGUUAGUGAAAGUAAACACAAAGACAGACUAUUAUAUCAUUCUAAAAAAGCAUAACCUUAUAUCACAUAAGUAGAUAUUAAUUGAAAACACUCUGGUAAAUACAAUAGAAAGAUAGAUUUCGAAAAUUUAAAACGAUCACACGACAAAAGAGUGAAUGCAGCUUGGUACUCAUAAUUGAUGCUCACGAAGGCACAUGCAAUACCGAUUGUUAGUGAUAUGAUGACCUAUCUUUAGAUACUAUCGCAAGCCCCAUAAAAUCUGAUGCCACCUAAAGGGUUUUAGGAUAUUAAGAUAGCUAACAUUUUACAUCGCAUUUCUGCACAAGAAAAUCCUAACAAGUUUAAGUCGGGGGCUUUGUUUAUGGGAAUUUUUAUCUCUAAGUGUGUUACGAUUACAAACCAUAAAGAUCAUAAAAUUUAAUCAAACUUGAGUUAUCGAAGCUAAUUUAGGCCCCUUAUAUAUAUAUUCUGUAAGACACAUAUACAUAGAAAAGCACAGACAUUAACACCUUUGGAAACAAUCUAUAACAACAUGCUAACCUACAAAUUCUGUAAAGGGCCUUUGUGUUAUACUAAGAUUAUUCCAAAACAAGUUAGCUAUGGGAGUAGUAAAUCCCAAGUGGACAGACACAUGAUCACUAAUAAAUGGUAAAAACACCUAUUUACUAUAUUAGUUUGAUGGUGAUAGGAUAAAGAAAUACAUAAUUUUGUAUUCAAAAUUUUUCAGAAAUAACAUAUGAAUUUACUUUUGAUAUAAAAAAAAAUGGUGUAUGAUAGACCACCCAACCUAACUUUUCAUAUGAAUAGUUUGGCCACAUAAUAGGAAUCUACAGUUUUCUUGCAUAGAAUAAAUUGGGCAUAAGGAAAGUUUUAUAUAUUAGGUCCGGAUAUUUGGUAAGGCUAUAUUAUGAAUUAAAAUUGAUUUCGUUAUAAUUAAUAAUUAUGAUUUAUUUUGUUUCCAAUUUAGUUUAGGUUAAGGAUAGUAUGUAACUGUAGAAUAAUUUAUUGUGAAAGAAACUGAGAUUGUCAUUUUUGGGAGAGCUACAAUAUCCAUAUUAAACGUACCAUAUGGCUCCUCUCUUCUCAAACCAUCAUAGGGAGAAAACACAAGCGAUAGGAGAGAAGAGGUAGGGAUCCUCACUUUUGUUAGUUUAUUAUACCUUGCUAUGUUUCAUAGUUUCCUGCUUUCAUAUCAUGACAUGCAUUUCAUUGAUACCUUAUCAUCCUAUUUGAUGACCAAUAGAGAAUAUAUAUAAUAUGCACAAAUUGACCUAUUAAAUGGAAGGGAUUCAUUAUAAAACUAUUUUUGAUGUAUUUGACAAGAUGAUUAUUCUAGGAUGGUUUUGGACAUUCUGUCAAGCAUGAAUUUGUUUAUGAUUAUUAGCAAUUCUUAUGUUGAUAUUUUGAUUUAAGUCUUUCCUUUAUAAAUUUAAUUUUAUAAAUCAAUAUCGGUGAUUGUGCCAAUUAUGAUUAUACACAUGAUUUCAUGAAUCACAUAAUGUUGCAUUUAUUGAGGAACAUUUGGAUGAAUAGAAACAAACGUAUAGAGGGAUUUUGGGGCCAUAUUUAAGACCUAGAAUUCUCCUUUAACUAUUUUGUCUCUAAUAGUAUAUUAACCGAAUAAUUUUGUAGUUGUAUUCGAAAUUAGACUUUUGAUUUUUUCUCAUUCUUAUUCUCCACGUCCUACAAAACUCUCAAACACGAAAGAUUAUUGGAGAAGGUCAGCAUCACCUCUAUCGUCCCCUCAAGAAGUCAAGACGAAGAACAAUUGGUAGAAAAAAAAACCAUCGUGGACGUCAAGACUCGAGACUCGAUUGUUCUAACAUCCCCACAGAAUGUCCUUACAAUGAUUGGCAAUCAAAUUCUCGUUCCACACAAUAUCUACUUUGGUGCCACAUGCAUGACUUAGUAUUUUAUCUAUUGGGCUAAUCAUUUGUUAAAGAAUAGAUCAAAAUUUAACUUUUUAAGAGAAUUCGGUCAAAAACUUAAGUAAUUGAAUCUAAAUCUAGUCAAAUAGUUAAAAUACAGUAAUAAUCAAGUUUGAUCAACUUAUUUGAUUAUAAUAAAUUAAAUUAAUCAAUUUUAUAAUUGAGGUUACAAGUUUAAAAUUUUUAAUUUAUGAAGGAUAAAACUAUAAUUAUAUUAGGAUAUACGAAAAAAAUAUUUUAUUUAUGAAGAAUAAAAUUAUCAAAAGAACAUAGUUAGAAUUAAAAAAAUUUAUAAGGACAAACCUAUAAUUUUAAAAUUUUACCCUCAUAGUUGUAGCUAGUUCCAUCGCGUCCAUGUAUGUGGGUCGGUGAUGCAGUGAUUGCCCAUUGUUUACGUGAUACCUACCACCCAUGCCUGUAAUGGGGCGACUGUCCUCAUGUAGUCGAUCGAAGACCACGCCGACAGAAUGCCUCCGUGGUGCACUGCUAACCAAGCAUCGCCAAUGAAUCGUCCCACCGCGUAGCCAUGCACACGCGCUGACCGACAACCCCCAUAGUCAUCAUGGUACGCGAUUAUACCAGCACAUCCUGUUGUACAGACAUUGGGAACCAUGACCUUCAGCAUUCAAUUGAUAUUAGUCACAACCAGCAAGCUCUGCCAUAGUGGUAUUGCUGCAACCGCCACUGGUAGCGAAACUGUUGUAGGCACCAAACGUAGUGGUACUGCUAUAGUCAUCACACCCCAUUGUGCUUCCACUGGGUACACAGCUACUACUAGUGAUUCCUUAAUGAUACUGUUAUCGAUAGUAAACUGUUAAUCGUGGUCCAUCAAUCAAGCACAAGGAACCUCACAUUGCAUAGAAGCAGAUGAUAAGACAAACUAGAUAGAACAACAAAUCAACACUAUAGGUGAUUUGUUCAUGCAUUGUAAAUAAAAAUCAAAUAACACCUUUUUACAAGCAAAAUAUAUUAACAAAUGGAUCUAAAGUAUUUGAUUUUACAAACAUGGCUUUGAUACCCAUCGUGAGUAUAAAAACCAUCAUUAUGCUACUAUUAUAUGAAAAACCUUAAUGUUAAAAUUUAAAAUUAAAUAAUAAUAUAUUAAAUUUACAAUGUAUACCUUUCAAUAUCAUUUAGAAAGUUUUUAUCUGAUUUAUGGGUGCACCAUCAUUAAAUCCGAAAGUUAUAACGAUGUCGAUCUAUAAGGAGAACUAGACUCGUCUUUUUCUCUCCUCCUAUCCUUCAUAAGACUGCUAUGAGUGAUGGAUUUAAAUAUUAAAAGAGAUUGAGAAUAUAUCAGUAAUAUCAAUAACUAGUUGUAUUGGUUGUACUCAUCCCUAUAAAGUCAUGUUCUUUUAUAGGUGAGAACAGAGGAUUUAGGAUAAAUAAUUAGGAGAGUCCCUCCCAUCAAUAUCAUCCUUUAAGGAAUCCUAUCAUAAUUAGACUUCCUUUUUAUUGAACAAUAAUCAUAAUUAAAAUCUAAUCAUACUCAUUAUACAUUUUACCUAAUUAGAUAGGAUCACAUAAUCUAAUAGGAUAAUAUCAUUAAAGGAUCAUUUUUACGGGGAUGUCACGUAUCAUGAUGGCAAAUUCUACUGCUUAACAAAUAAGUGAAGUCCCUUUUAAUCUACGUAAAGUUCUACCCAGUGUGACGGUGUUGUGAGGUGGUUAUCAAUUUGUAUUCCCUAAUCUCUCCGAUUGUAAAGGAACAACAUCAUUAUUGUACUAAGGCCUACCAAUAUUACCAACUUUAUCAUUGUACCAAAGGUUAAUGUUUUUUGUGCUGUACUUGGAACAAAAAGAAGUUUCUCUUUAUUUUCUGAAUUUGCAUCUGUUUGAUCGAAGUUAGAAGAUAGAAGGGAAAUGAUAUGGUCCUGCUUCAAUUAUCAAAUCAUAGAUACAACACAUUGCAAUUGGUUUUGCUGUAUGGGGUGGCAACAUAAAGACACAUAUGGAUCACUGACCCGUUCUGCUCAGAAGCAGUGGAUGCCUUUUGCUCCUCUCAAAAGUAUGUGUUUUUGAUAGAUUUCUGUAUGUUCUUACCACACAUCAUUAAUUAUUCCAAUGACUACACUACCCUUGGAGUCUUAUUUGGUGAGAUUAGUAACAGGAAAGAAAUGAUGAGAUCUAUCUUGUCUCUAUAUACUUAUUAUCAUGCCAUUUUAUUUGGAAAAACCACUGGCAAUCAUCAUUGGAAUUAUUUCGACUCUUAGCAAUUUAUGUGUCAAAUAGCUACUGUUUCAUUUAACUCUGGUUAUCCUAGUGCUACAGGUAAAAAAAGAUACAUAUAUCUUCAAACUUACCUCAGAAAUUAUAGCAUAGAAUUGAAAUGAAAACUUGCAUAACAUAUCGAAUCCGAGAAAUGGAUGACCAAAAUGCUGGGUUGCAAAAAUGAAAAACUAUACUGUGGCUUUAUAACUCAAAUUUUGGAGAAUUCAUUGAGGCAUCAAGAGAGAGACUUUGAUUAAGGUCUCUUCAAAUAUUGUAAGUUGAAAGAUGAUCAGGUCAUUGAAAAUAUAGAUAAGUAGAUUAGAGACUGGAUUGAUCGAUCUAAUUUAAUUUGUCUUUAGAAACAUGUAAAUCCAAGUUGACAAUUUUGAAUUCAGAAUGUUUUUGGAUGGGUUUCUUUGUGUUAUACCAACUAGCAUGAACAAUAUAUUGAGUAAAUCAGACAAAUUGAGUAUGAUAGUAUGAACAUAUCUUAUAUAGUGUGAACAUCACCCGAACAUGGGUGAAAACAUCUUAUAUUCAUUGAGUUGAUUCAACCCGGUCCACUUCUCCAGAGUUGUCAUGUUUAAGAAUUAGAAUCUUGCAAUGGUUUGUCAUUCUCUCUAGGUGAUUUGAGAACUGUUUUAUCUUAUUAUGAUGCAUUGGGUUCGGUCGAUUCUAAGAUUAAGUUAACUUGAAGACGAGCCGAACGUAUAGUCGACUUGAAGACAUAUCGAACUUAGAUAUGAUCGGCUUAAAUAUGUGAUGGACUUAAGGAUGUGAUCGUCUCAAAAGAUAUAAACGAUAGAAAGUCACAAUCGACUAGAAGAUGUGACCGAGUUGAAGUUAUGAAAUAUUUGAGAGACACGACCAAGUUGAAGAAACAAUCAAUUUAGAGAAGUCGGUGUUGAUAUCAGUAAUGGUAGUAAGGGGAGUUUGUGAGUGAAUUAGUUCUAGUAUAAAUUUGACAAUCUUCAAAGGUUAAAAAAAAAAGGAAAAAAGUAGAGAACUAAUAUAAACAAGUAUGCGAAAGUGAGGUGCACAAAUAGAAGAUAGACACACCAAUUCAUAGUGAUGAAGAUUUUCUGACCUAUGUCGACAUCAAGCUUUCACUAUUUAUCUUAUUUCCAAUAUGUGAAUAUCAAUUAUCACUUACAACUUUUUCUUCUUCAAAACUUAGAAGUUUUAGACUUAGAACACUCAAGCUUUUACAAAUGUUUCGACACCUUCCAUGACGUAGCAAGCCUAAUAAAACUCAAAGCAAGUUUUUAGGAGAAGAUUUUCAACACUUGAAGAGCUCAAGGAUCUUUUUUUCUGCCAAUCUAAAAAGGAUAUUUAUAGGCGCAAGAGAUCCUAAAAACCUAUAAGAAUAAAGGGGGUAAGAUACUCUUUACCAUUGUCAUAUUAGGCAGUAUCACUGUCGACUUGAGUGGUGCCACUACUUGGCCUAACUGUCACUACUUGCCCUAGCAGUAUCAUCGCUUGAGCCUAUAUUAGCUUAGUACAAAAUCCAAAAGCCUUUUGGUUCCAACCCAAUAAUAAUAUAUUUUAGCCUAAUGACUCGACAUUCAAUCCUUUGUGUGUGUGACUAACCCUUCAGCACAAAGAUAUAUUCGACUCAUCAUAUGAACUUCUGAUUUAUUCGACUCAUCAAUCUAUCCUUCCACUCAACAACCUCAUCCUCCACAAUGUAUGCACCUUUAGUUAUUUAUGGACAUCUUGUUAUUUAUAUUUUUAUUCCAAAUUUCAAUUUUAUAAUUUAGGAAUUAUUUAAGGAAACUCACUAGGUGUUGGAAUUUGAGUAUCUGAUGUUGCAAAUCAAACUUAUUACAACAAUCUCUAUGUUUAAUGUUAUAAUUGUUUUACAAUUUUGGUUGUCUGUAAAGCUCGCUUUUUAUAUAAUCUGAUCAUUCCAAAUCUCAAUUAUGUUAUGAUUUUGCAGAAGUGUGAUUGGUUCUGAACUAAUUCACAUUGAAAACUGUAUUGGAAUCAGCAUACCAAAUCAUCAGUUAAUGAAAAGAACUGAAUUCAACAGUUUCCUGAUUGAAUACUGGUUUCCCGGUUUGCAUGGGAUUUGAGUUAAUGAAAUAUAUCCUAAUUUUCCCAAGUUGAUCCCGAAUCCAUCUGAAGUUGGCAAUAAUCCUAAAGAUCAUAGAUAGAUCAUUUAGCCCAAUAAUGGUAAAACAUCAUUAUUUCAUCCAUAAAGAUGACUAUAUUUAUCUUUUGACCCGAAUGAUCUCAAAAUCUUUUUCUUAACACAAAUGGCACAACUCCUAGCUCAAAAACUUAUCUAAAAGGGCACAAAAAAAGUCAAGAAUUCAUAGCUACUUUAUGGGUCCCAUAUCACUUAAUUUUUGAUAUUUAGGGGGUUCAUGGGAUCUAUAACUCAUAAAUGAGUAUAUAAUUGGGAUUGAUAAAGUUUUUUCCUCUACAAAUAACUCCUUUCUUUCAUUUUAAUUUUUCUUAUUUUUCUAUAUUAAAUUAUAUAUUAUUAUUUUUAAGGUGAAUUAACAACACCCGAUGAAAAAAAUAUAGUAUCACAAUUAAUCUCACAUCAAAAGUAAAUUAAAAUUAAAAUUAAUUUGUAAGUGUUUAAUGAGUGUACGACUAUUAACUUCGACUAAGUAUUUUUAGUCGAUUUAGAUUCAGUGAAAUUAAAAGACUAGUUAUAUUAGAAUCGGUUUGACAAUGACUUUAUAUGGUGAAAAAAUUACUUGACAUGCAUCAUACAAUAGUUUUGUGGAUGGACAUAUCAUUUGUAACAGUGCUAACCAAAGGUUCAACCUAAUAAUGAAGCUCCAACAAAUGCAAGGAUAGUGCAAAUUAAAUUUCUAUAAUGCUUAUGCUUGGACUUAAUUUGCAAUUGUAAUUCAUGAAUGGUCUAAAGCUUUCCCUCAGAGUUAGGAGAAGACUUCUUCAGGAGCCAAAAAUAUAGGCGAUUAAAAUGGCUAAACAAAAGUACAGAUCGACAUCUUGUUACAAAGAGGACCGAGUCACAAGGAAAUGGGAAACGAUCGUCCACAUCUUGUUUCAAACAGGACCAAGUCACAAGGAAAUGGAACCCAUGCAUGGCCUCUGGUUUGCUUGCUUUAUCCAUUCUCUUCCCCCCCCCCCCCCCUCCUUCCCUCCCUCCCUAUAUAAACACCCCCCUCCCUUCAUCCGUAAUCGGCCUAUCACAUCAGGAGCCAGGGCUCCAAAAUAAACAUCCUCCUUUCACUCCUUUGUAUCGCCAAUUUGAUGCACAGGCAUAUCUCGGAAUAAAAGAAUAAAAGAGAAGAUGUCGAAGGCCAUCUUCGGUGCUGUCUCGGCGGUCCUCCUCGUGGCCGCGGUGAUCGGAGUGGUAGCUACUGUUGUGAGUUCGAAUCAUAAGACCGAUGCUUCUGAGGGUGAUGGUUCACUUACCACCACGUCCAAGUCCGUCUCGGCCUUCUGCGCCAAAACUGACUACCAAGCCGACUGUGAACGCACCAUUGGUUCUGCCAUCAAUGGCUCUUCCUCCCCCAAGGAAGUCAUCCAAGCUUCUUUUCAGGCGGCCAUUGACGAAAUCCAAGCUGCCUUCCACCUGUCCAACAACGUAAGUUUGAAGGCGAAUGACCCGAUGAACAAGGCUGCGUUCAACAUUUGCCGGCAGCUCCUCGAGGAUGCCGAUGAGGAGCUCAAUGCUGCCUUCUCGGAGACUCAUGACCUUCAGGGUCUGGCGAGGAGGACCGAUGACAUCAAGACAUGGCUCUCGGCCGUCAUCUCCUACCAGCAGACCUGUCUCGAUGGCAUCACCGAACCGGAGCUCCAGUCCACCAUGAAGGACGGUCUAAGCACGGCCACAAAGGUCACCAGCAAUGCCAUUGCCAUUGUCGAUGAGCUUAGUUCAUUAUUAAAGUCCUUCAAGAUCCCGAUUAACAUAACCAUGGGCAGUCGACGCUUACUGGUCGAUGAGCAAGGGUACCCUUCGUGGUUCUCGGGCCAUGACAGGAAGCUCCUGGCUGCCCAAGCGCGAGGCCAGCUGACCCCUAAUGUGGUGGUUGCUAAGGAUGGGAGUGGAAAGUUCAAGACGAUCAACGAUGCCGUUAAUGCCAUGCCAAAGGAUUACUCUGGGCGGUACGUGAUCUACGUGAAGGCUGGGGUCUACAAGGAGAAUGUCAUCGUUGGCAAGGAUAAGGUGAACGUCCUCAUGUACGGUGAUGGAUCAAGGAAGACAGUCGUGACCGGGAGCAAGAACUACGUCGAUGGCGUGCAAACUGUUGAUACCGCGACCUUCGGUUUGUGCUUUCCUUACUUUCCCAUGUUAUAUAUGCUUCUACUUUACUACUGCACUACUGCAAUAGUAUAGAGCAGAAGGAAAGCUCAUGUUACUGGCAUUCCCCAGCUGCCCUCGGACAAGGCUUUAUCGCCAAGUCAAUGGGGUUCAGCAACACGGCCGGAGCAGAGAAGCACCAAGCUGUGGCGCUCCGCGUGCAGUCGGACAUGUCAGCCUUCUUCAACUGCAGGAUGGAUGCGUACCAAGACACCUUAUACGUGCAGGCCCACCGACAAUUCUACCGCAACUGCGUCGUCUCCGGGACGAUUGACUUCAUCUUCGGCGACUCCUCCACCAUCCUUCAGAACUGCCUCCUGGUGAUGCGACGCCCGAUGGACAACCAGCAGAACAUCUUAACGGCUCAUGGGCGAUCUCAGGCGAAGGAGACCACCGCGCUGGUGAUCCAGAACUGCCGCAUCGUCCCGGACAAGUCCUUGUUCCCGGAGAGGUUGAAGUUCCGCAACUACCUUGGCCGGCCAUGGAAGGCAUACUCGAGGACCAUCGUCAUGGAAUCUACCAUCGGAGACCUGAUCCAGCCUGAGGGUUGGAUGCCGUGGGACGGAGC
This 25146-nucleotide long non-coding RNA is filed under the name Musa acuminata (dwarf banana). RNAcentral describes it as "long non-coding RNA (MACU_LNC005518)". The record is from RNAcentral. Lineage: Eukaryota; Viridiplantae; Streptophyta; Magnoliopsida; Zingiberales; Musaceae.